UGGGGAAUUUUGGACAAUGGGCGAAAGCCUGAUCCAGCAAUGCCGCGUGUGUGAAGAAGGCCUUCGGGUUGUAAAGCACUUUUGUCCGGGAAAGAAAUCCUUGGCUCUAAUACAGUCGGGGGAUGACGGUACCGGAAGAAUAAGCACCGGCUAACUACGUGCCAGCAGCCGCGGUAAUACGUAGGGUGCAAGCGUUAAUCGGAAUUACUGGGCGUAAAGCGUGCGCAGGCGGUUUGCUAAGACCGAUGUGAAAUCCCCGGGCUCAACCUGGGAACUGCAUUGGUGACUGGCAGGCUAGAGUAUGGCAGAGGGGGGUAGAAUUCCACGUGUAGCAGUGAAAUGCGUAGAGAUGUGGAGGAAUACCGAUGGCGAAGGCAGCCCCCUGGGCCAAUACUGACGCUCAUGCACGAAAGCGUGGGGAGCAAACAGGAUUAGAUACCCUGGUAGUCCACGCCCUAAACGAUGUCAACUAGUUGUUGGGGAUUCAUUUCCUUAGUAACGUAGCUAACGCGUGAAGUUGACCGCCUGGGGAGUACGGUCGCAAGAUUAAAACUCAAAGGAAUUGACGGGGUCAUAGCUGUUU
This 583-nucleotide ribosomal RNA is filed under the name uncultured bacterium. RNAcentral describes it as "partial 16S ribosomal RNA". It matches the Rfam family "Bacterial small subunit ribosomal RNA", at positions 355 to 935 of the family's 1533-position model. The record is from RNAcentral.